GAUGUAGCUCAGUGCUAGAGCAUUUGCCUAGCAAGCGUGAGGCCCUGGGUUAAAUCCCCAGCACA
Molecule: transfer RNA, 65 nt
Filed under: Marmota monax (woodchuck)
Lineage: Eukaryota; Metazoa; Chordata; Mammalia; Rodentia; Sciuridae
Description: tRNA.Ala
Rfam family: tRNA
About the family: Transfer RNA (tRNA) molecules are approximately 80 nucleotides in length. Their secondary structure includes four short double-helical elements and three loops (D, anti-codon, and T loops).
Source: RNAcentral